Molecule: ribosomal RNA, 579 nt
Filed under: Triticum aestivum (bread wheat)
Lineage: Eukaryota; Viridiplantae; Streptophyta; Magnoliopsida; Poales; Poaceae
Description: partial small subunit ribosomal RNA
Source: RNAcentral
AUGACUUCCUCAGCCGGCGUCGCCCUGAACCUCGGUUCGCCUCCGUCAGAGAAACUUGCGAGAGGGAACUUCAUCCUCUGGAAGACGCAGGUUCUCCCAGCCCUGCGAGGUGCGCAGGUCACCGGGCUGCUCGACAACUCCGACGCCGCUCCGCCCAAGAUGGUGGAGGUCACAAAGGCGGACAAAACUACGGCCCAAGAGCCGAACCCUCUGUAUGGACCUUGGAUCGCCAAAGAUCAACAGGUUCUGUCAUAUCUGCUCAACUCCAUGUCUCCUGAGAUUCUUGCACAGGUCGUCGGGAGGGACUCCACCUUCGAGCUUUGGACAACAAUCAACAACCUCUUCGCCUCACAAUCGCAGUCUCGGAUUACCAAUCUGAGGAUUGCGAUCACCAACACCAAGAAAGGCACCAUGUCAAGUUCAGCAUACAUGGCGAAGAUGAAGAGUCUCGGGGAUGAACUAGCUGCUGCUGGUCGUCCCGUCUCUGAUCCGGAGAUGGUGGACUACAUACUUGCAGGUCUGGAUCGCGACUACGACUCCGUGGUGGCGGCAAUCGGCGCUGUCAAGAACAGCAUCACC